AACGAACGCUGGCGGCAUGCCUAACACAUGCAAGUCGAACGAGACCUUCGGGUCUAGUGGCGCACGGGUGCGUAACGCGUGGGAACCUGCCCUUAGGUUCGGAAUAACUCCCCGAAAGGGGUGCUAAUACCGGAUAAUGUCUUCGGACCAAAGAUUUAUCGCCUUUGGAUGGGCCCGCGUUGGAUUAGCUAGUUGGUAGGGUAAAAGGCUACCAAGGCGACGAUCCAUAGCUGGUCAUAGAGGAUGAUCAGCCACACUGGGAGUGGGACACGGCCCAGACUACUACGGGAGGCAGCAGUGGGGAAUAUUGGACAAUGGGCGAAAGCCUGAGCCAGCAAUGCCGCGUGAGUGAUGAAGGCAUUAGGGUUGUAAAGCUCUUUUACCCGGGAUGAUAAUGACAGUACCGGGAGAAUAAGCUCCGGCUAACUACGUG
Molecule: ribosomal RNA, 433 nt
Filed under: uncultured bacterium
Lineage: Bacteria
Description: partial 16S ribosomal RNA
Rfam family: Bacterial small subunit ribosomal RNA
Source: RNAcentral